GAUGAACGCUGGCGGCGUGCCUAAUACAUGCAAGUCGAGCGAACAGAUAAGGAGCUUGCUCCUUUGACGUUAGCGGCGGACGGGUGAGUAACACGUGGGUAACCUACCUAUAAGACUGGGAUAACUUCGGGAAACCGGAGCCAAUACCGGAUAAUAUUUCGAACCGCAUGGUUCGAUAGUGGAGGAUGGUUUUGCUAUCACUUAUAGAUGGACCCGCGCCGUAUUAGCUAGUUGGUAAGGUAACGGCUUACCAAGGCGACGAUACGUAGCCGACCUGAGAGGGUGAUCGGCCACACUGGAACUGAGACACGGUCCAGACUCCUACGGGAGGCAGCAGUAGGGAAUCUUCCGCAAUGGGCGAAAGCCUGACGGAGCAACGCCGCGUGAGUGAUGAAGGUCUUCGGAUCGUAAAACUCUGUUAUUAGGGAAGAACAUACGUGUAAGUAACUGUGCACGUCUUGACGGUACCUAAUCAGAAAGCCACGGCUAACUACGUG
RNAcentral lists this ribosomal RNA (497 nucleotides) under uncultured bacterium. Its description in RNAcentral is "partial 16S ribosomal RNA". It matches the Rfam family "Bacterial small subunit ribosomal RNA", at positions 28 to 507 of the family's 1533-position model. The record is from RNAcentral.